Heterocephalus glaber (naked mole-rat) is the source of this 1068-nucleotide non-coding RNA. Lineage: Eukaryota; Metazoa; Chordata; Mammalia; Rodentia; Bathyergidae. The record is from RefSeq and is a predicted model, not a curated record.
GGGCGGCACUGUGUCCCGCAUGAUCUUUCAGCCUGGCAGCCUGUUAGAAGGCAGCUGGUGCAGGGAGGCAGCAGAACAGGGGUUGCCAAAGCUAAUAGAGAAAAAUCAUGAGUCUGUGGUGAAGCGGCCCAGUCCACUGAGGUAAUGUGUGGAACCAGGAGGCUGUCAGAACACAGGCCUAAAGUGGAUGAAGAUGCCAAGUGACAAACACCGGAUCCCCCCCGAUACUAGCUAGGCAGAGACGGUUCUACUGGAGCCCAGAGUGCCUAAGAGGAGGCUGAUGGGAGGGGCCAAGCAGAGCCAGGCCCCAGGGGACCGGAGCACACAGGCAGGGGAGCGCAGGGGAGCGGGGACCUUACAAUGGAAGCCCUGGAGGGCUGUGAGCAGGGAGUGACAUGGACAGGUUGGUGUGUUUUGGCCAUGCUGCGGCUGAGAACUCAGGUCAGAAGCUUCAGGACUGGGCACAGUGGGGUUACUACUGCCGCGUCCAGAUGAGAAGCCCAGGCAGGGUGGCUAGCUGAGGUAGACGCGAUGACAGACUCGAGACAGCUGAGCCGGCGUGGGGAGGUAGGAGGAAAAGCAGCUUAGGAUGACCCUGGCCGCUGGCAUAGGGGACAGUUAUAAACAGGGGCAGGAAGAGGAGAGGAGGGUCAGGAUUUGGGGACAGGGGACACAUUCAGUCAUUCACAUGAUGAACUGGAGGGGUCGGUGACCCUUUCUUUUGGAGACUUCUGCUCUUUAGACUCAGUGACUUGGAGCUCAGGAUGGAGGGCUGGGCUUGAGAAACAGAUUUAAGAGUCCUAGUGUCUAUAACAGGCACCGGAGAGCUCAUCCAUGCUUGUUUUCAAUAAAAUAAGGUGCAUUUUGAAGCAUAGUAAAAUUCAUGUAAAAACUGCCAUACUAGCUGGGUGUGGUGGCGCACACCUGUGAUCCCAGCACGUUGGGAGGCUGAGGCAGGAGGGUCACAAGUCUGCGCCCAGCCUGAGCAAUUUAACAACUUAAGAAGGCCCUGUCUCAAAAAGCUUUUAAAAAGGGCUAGAAAUAUAGCUCAUCAAAGGCCCUAGGUUC